RNAcentral lists this ribosomal RNA (734 nucleotides) under uncultured Cellulosimicrobium sp. Its description in RNAcentral is "bacterial SSU rRNA". It matches the Rfam family "Bacterial small subunit ribosomal RNA", at positions 28 to 776 of the family's 1533-position model. The record is from RNAcentral. Lineage: Bacteria; Bacillati; Actinomycetota; Actinomycetes; Micrococcales; Promicromonosporaceae.
GACGAACGCUGGCGGCGUGCUUAACACAUGCAAGUCGAACGAUGAUGCCCAGCUUGCUGGGCGGAUUAGUGGCGAACGGGUGAGUAACACGUGAGUAACCUGCCCUUGACUUCGGGAUAACUCCGGGAAACCGGGGCUAAUACCGGAUAUGAGCCGUCCUCGCAUGGGGGUGGUUGGAAAGUUUUUCGGUCAGGGAUGGGCUCGCGGCCUAUCAGCUUGUUGGUGGGGUGAUGGCCUACCAAGGCGACAACGAGUAGCCGGCCUGAGAGGGCGACCGGCCACACUGGGACUGAGACACGGCCCAGACUCCUACGGGAGGCAGCAGUGGGGAAUAUUGCACAAUGGGCGAAAGCCUGAUGCAGCGACGCCGCGUGAGGGAUGAAGGCCUUCGGGUUGUAAACCUCUUUCAGCAGGGAAGAAGCGCAAGUGACGGUACCUGCAGAAGAAGCGCCGGCUAACUACGUGCCAGCAGCCGCGGUAAUACGUAGGGCGCAAGCGUUGUCCGGAAUUAUUGGGCGUAAAGAGCUCGUAGGCGGUUUGUCGCGUCUGGUGUGAAAACUCGAGGCUCAACCUCGAGCUUGCAUCGGGUACGGGCAGACUAGAGUGCGGUAGGGGAGACUGGAAUUCCUGGUGUAGCGGUGGAAUGCGCAGAUAUCAGGAGGAACACCGAUGGCGAAGGCAGGUCUCUGGGCCGCAACUGACGCUGAGGAGCGAAAGCAUGGGGAGCGAACAGG